CGGCGGGACACCCCUCCCCAACGGGGGGCUUAUAUCUGGAAGGAUACCAUGU
Non-coding RNA from Rhodobacterales bacterium, 52 nucleotides. NCBI's taxonomy places the organism in Bacteria, Pseudomonadati, Pseudomonadota, Alphaproteobacteria, Rhodobacterales. The record is from Rfam.